This 395-nucleotide RNase P RNA is filed under the name Cellulosimicrobium funkei. RNAcentral describes it as "RNase P RNA component class A". It matches the Rfam family "Bacterial RNase P class A". From Rfam's summary of the family: Ribonuclease P (RNase P) is a ubiquitous endoribonuclease, found in archaea, bacteria and eukarya as well as chloroplasts and mitochondria. Its best characterised activity is the generation of mature 5'-ends of tRNAs by cleaving the 5'-leader elements of precursor-tRNAs. Lineage: Bacteria; Bacillati; Actinomycetota; Actinomycetes; Micrococcales; Promicromonosporaceae. The record is from RNAcentral.
CAGGCUGGCGGACGGCCGCAGGGCGCCGGUGACGGUGCCGUGAGGAACGUCCGGGCUCCACAGGGCAGGAUGGUGGGUAACGCCCACUCGGGGUAACCCGCAGGACAGUGCCACAGAAAGCAGACCGCCUGGUCCGUGACGGUGUCCGCACCGCCGCGGGCCCGGUGAGGGUGAAAGGGUGGUGUAAGAGACCACCAGCGGUCCGGGUGACCGGAUCGGCUCGGUAAACCCCAUCCGGAGCAAGGCCGAACAGGAUGUGUUCGAGGGCUGCCCGCCCGAGCAUCCGGGUUGGCCGCUCGAGCCCGUCGGCAACGGCGGGCCUAGAUGGAUGGCCGUCGCUGGGAGGUGGGUGACCGCCCCCGGUACAGAACCCGGCGUACAAGCCAGCCUGUCCC